CCUACGGGAGGCAGCAGUGGGGAAUCUUGCGCAAUGGGCGAAAGCCUGACGCAGCAACGCCGCGUGCGGGAAGAAGGCCUUCGGGUUGUAAACCGCUUUCAGCAGGAACGAAAAUGACGGUACCUGCAGAAGAAGGUGCGGCCAACUAUGUGCCAGCAGCCGCGGUGAUACAUAGGCACCAAGCGUUGUCCGGAUUUAUUGGGCGUAAAGAGCUCGUAGGCGGUUCAGUCAGUCGGGUGUGAAAACUCUGGGCUUAACCCAGAGCCUGCACCCGAUACUGCUGUGACUAGAGUUCGGUAGGGGAGCGGGGAAUUCCUGGUGUAGCGGUGAAAUGCGCAGAUAUCAGGAGGAACACCGAUGGCGAAGGCACCGCUCUGGGCCGAAACUGACGCUGAGGAGCGAAAGCAUGGGUAGCAAACAGGAUUAGAUACCCUGGUAGUCCAUGCGUAACGUAGGUCGACUAGUGUGGUCGUACUACACGAACGUCGCGCCGUCGCUACGCAUAGUCGCCCGCCGUCGGGAGGUACGGUCGCGACGACUAAACCUACAAUAGAAGUUAGACGAGCGUGAGACGUCGCCGACGGACGACGACGAGGGAGGAGG
RNAcentral lists this ribosomal RNA (603 nucleotides) under uncultured bacterium. RNAcentral describes it as "bacterial SSU rRNA". The stretch from base 1 to 515 matches the Rfam family "Bacterial small subunit ribosomal RNA", at positions 338 to 873 of the family's 1533-position model. The record is from RNAcentral.